GUACUCGCUUCGGCAGCAUAUAUAGUAAAAUUGGAACGAUACAGAGAAAAGGAGCGUGGCCCCUGUGCAAGGAGGACACGCAAAUUCAUGAAGCGUUCCGUAUUUUA
Molecule: small nuclear RNA, 107 nt
Organism: Nycticebus coucang (slow loris)
Lineage: Eukaryota; Metazoa; Chordata; Mammalia; Primates; Lorisidae
Source: RefSeq, a predicted model, not a curated record